This 736-nucleotide ribosomal RNA is filed under the name uncultured bacterium. RNAcentral describes it as "bacterial SSU rRNA". It matches the Rfam family "Bacterial small subunit ribosomal RNA", at positions 16 to 761 of the family's 1533-position model. The record is from RNAcentral.
AUCAUGGCUCAGGAUAAACGCUGGCGGCGCACAUAAGACAUGCAAGUCGAACGGACUUAACCAUUAGUUUACUAUUGGAGCGGUUAGUGGCGGACUGGUGAGUAACACGUAAGCAACCUGCCUAUCAGAGGGGAACAACAGUUAGAAAUGACUGCUAAUACCGCAUAUGCCUAAGUACCACAUGGUACAAUAGGGAAAGGAGCAAUCUGCUGAUAGAUGGGCUUGCGUCUGAUUAGAUAGUUGGUGGGGUAACGGCUUACCAAGUCGGCGAUCAGUAGCCGGACUGAGAGGUUGAACGGCCACAUUGGGACUGAGAUACGGCCCAGACUCCUACGGGAGGCAGCAGUCGGGAAUAUUGCGCAAUGGAGGAAACUCUGACGCAGUGACGCCGCGUGCAGGAAGAAGGUUUUCGGAUUGUAAACUGCUUUAGACAGGGAAGAAACAAGACAGUACCUGUAGAAUAAGCUCCGGCUAACUACGUGCCAGCAGCCGCGGUAAUACGUAGGGAGCGAGCGUUAUCCGGAUUUAUUGGGUGUAAAGGGUGCGUAGACGGGAAGAUAAGUUAGUUGUGAAAUCCCUCGGCUUAACUGAGGAACUGCAACUAAAACUGUUUUUCUUGAGUACUGGAGAGGAAAGUGGAAUUCCUAGUGUAGCGGUGAAAUGCGUGGAUAUUAGGAGGAACACCAGUGGCGAAGGCGACUUUCUGGACAGAAACUGACGUUGAGGCACGAAAGUG